CCGAGUCUCAAUCACAGAGAGCAUCUGAAUUGAAGUGAUCCAUUUUCUCUUCUCUUCUCUCAGAAAAUGCGUCAUUACAGCAUCCACAACAUCAUCUUCAAUUCCCACCAUUGUACAACACUUAACCCCAAAAAAAUUCCCCCUCUUUUCCCAUUCCCAUUCUCUCACAAAUUGAAACUCUUCACCACCACCACCACCACUUCAGAUUCCGAAUCUGAACCAAACUCUUUCGUCGUUUCCUACCUCAUCAACACCAUCGGUUUCCCACGUGAAACAGCUCUCAAAGCAUCAAAACGACUCCGUUUCAACUCCCCAGAAAAGCCCAAUUCCGUUUUCACCUUCUUCAAAAACCACGGUUUUUCAGACUCCAACAUACGCAACAUCUUCAUCAAAGAACCAUGGCUUCUUUCCUCAGACACCCACAAUUUAAUUCUCCCAAAGUUCCAAUUUUUCCUCUCCAAAGGCGCUUCACCUUCCGACAUUUCUCGAUUGUUAUCAGUAAGCCCUAGAAUUUUACAAAGUAGUUUGGAGAAUAGAAUUAUCCCUCUUUUUGAAUUCUAUAAGAGGUUUUUGAAAUCUGAUAAAGCUACUAUUUGUUACAUGAUUCGUUAUUCGAUUCCUUUGUCUUAUAAUCUUACUAUGGUUAAUAUGAAAUUGAUGAUUGAUUAUGGAGUUUGUGAUUCCAGCAUUGCUAGAUUGCUUCUAACUAGACCAACUAUACUUGGAUCAAAUGAUUUUAUCAAUACUUUGGAGGAAGUUAAGGGUUUAGGGUUUGACCCUUUAACAACUACUUUUGGGAUAGCUUUGGUUGCAAAGAAAAGUUUGAGUAAAACCCUUUGGGAUGAUAAAGUUGCUGUUUUUAAGAAAUGGGGUUGGUCUGAUGAAGAUGUUGUUAGAGCUUUUAGGGUUCAGCCUUUUUUGAUGUUGGCUUCCAUUGAUAAGAUUAAUUUGGUGAUGAGUUUUUGGGUUAAUCAAUUGGGUUGGAAUUCUUUGGCACUUACUAAAAGGCCACAAAUGUUUUGUAUAAGUUUGGAGAGAAGGAUCAUUCCAAGGGCAUUGGUUUUGCAAUAUCUUCAGAUGAAAGGUUUGUGGAGAAAGAAUGCAAGCUUAGUUACACCGUUUUCUUUGUCGGAGAAAUUGUUCCUGAGCAAGUUUGUUGUCGGUUUUAAGGAUGAGUCUGAUUAUCUAUUGAAGCUUUAUGAAGAAAAAAUGAAUCUUGCAUACACCAAGGAGAAGAACACUGACAUGAAAAUCACCAAAUAGUGGGCGCACGAGGAAGAGACGGCAAAAUCAUACGAAUUACACGUGACACUGAUACUUCUACAUCAUCCACAAUGAAUCCUCCAAAGAGGAUUCGACCGACAGCUUCAAAGAGAAGAAGACGGAUGAUAAUUGAAGACGAUGAUGAGAGACAUCAUGGUCAUUAAUUUAUCCCAAAUGUGAUUAUAUAUCAGCAGGAGGAGCCUUCUAUAGUGCAUGAGGAGGAUGAGGUACAUGAGCGGGUGGAUGUACAUCAGUAGAAGGAGGUUGCACCUGCUCAUGAGGGAGAGCAUAUGGAGGAGGGGCAUGAUGGAGCUGAGGGACCUGGUGAGGUCACACAGUAUUCUGGAGGACCUUAUGAUUUGUCUUUCCUUACACAAUACAAUCAUCAUGUUUCAGCUAGACUCUGGUUUGGUGGGAUGUGACCAGGGUGCUAACGUGGAAUGUUUUGCCCGAAUGAAUAAAUGGUGCUACAAACAAGACAAGCACAAGGUUCAUGAGUACAGACGUAUCAUUGAUGCAUUGACACAUGCAGAUAUUAUAUGGAGACCAUGAGAGAAUCAUAUGAGUGUCAUUUCUUUUGAUGAUAUCAUGCUUUAUAUUGGCCAUCUCCGUUUAUGCAGCAUUUUAGUGAAAUAUCUGUUAGAGAUGUGUUUGAGACAAUUUGGAUAUAUCAAAUAUAUUUCAUCACCGCCACUUCCAGAUCCUUCAAGAUUAUUUGAUAUAGAUGCGGAAUGGUUGAGAUAUGUGACGCUAGUGACAGAGAUAUCUCACAAGCUUCGUCUAGCUACAUAUUCAUCUGAGUAUGAAGAUGGGUAUUUGGAGUGGUUCUAUCAGGUGUCUCAUCCACUGUUGGUGCAACCAGAUGGUGUACCCUAGGUACCACAUUAUUGUGUACCGCCCACCAGUGCAGAUACUUCUAGUUCACAGCCGCCACCUAUCCUACAGCAGAUCGACGAUCUUAUACAACAAGGGUUGAAUGAACAUGAAGCUAGUCCGGAUGAUGAGUUGUAUAUUCACUUUUAUAAAACUUUGUAUUUAUCACGUAGUUACACUAGUUAAUAGUAACACUUUCAUGAAUUAUUGUUAUGUCAGUUACUUUUUAUAAAUACUUUAUGAAUUAUUGUUAUGUCAGUUA
Molecule: RNA transcript, 2398 nt
Organism: Cicer arietinum (chickpea)
Lineage: Eukaryota; Viridiplantae; Streptophyta; Magnoliopsida; Fabales; Fabaceae
Source: RefSeq, a predicted model, not a curated record